GUGAAGCCCUAGUACAGAUCUGUGAAAAAAUGUGAGACGUCUCCAUGACCCAUUGCCUGCAGCUCUCUGCUCUGCUGACAGCCUCAGGGAGCAGCAUGUCUGGCUGGGUUGCAUGGGAAGAUGUACAUCUCCAGGCUGCUCUCUGCAAACAACUUCUGUGAUGAAUUUAUACCCUCCAUGCUUGUUGCUUACCAGAAAUUCUUGUAAGAAUACACCAGACAUGAAGAGAGGCAGAGAAGCAGCCACAGCUGGAACCUGGCCAGCCCAGCUGGCAUGGUGGUGUGUGUGAAGCCCCUGGAGCCUGUCCAGGGACAGGAUGAUGGGGGGAGCUGCUGGCAGCACGACCUGCUUUCCUUCUCCCACACAUGACAAUAGCCAGGUCAUGGUAAAAGGGGGAGCCAGACUUGGACCAAAACCAGUGGGCUGUACUCAUGAGAACUACUGCUCCACUGAACAGCUGGAGAUCACUGAUGUUUAUCUCUGUGGGAACUGUGGCAGUUUCCACUUUGCCCUCAUGUUGCUACACUGUUUGCAAGAAAGAGCAGCCCUUUCUGAAGAUAAACCAGAUAAAAGAGCAACGGAACCAGAAAAGCUAUACUAUAAUUCAAAAGGCUUUAACCUGUUUAUGUAUUACACCACACCUUCCCUGUAAAUACGUGUUGUCAUAAUGGCAGCAGUGGUACUUCUUUUUGUCGAUAAUCUACUGAGAAGUCCCUCGGUGUGACAUGUGCUCAGGUAAAUUGUGCUGAUUAGCUCUUCAAGAAGGGCUAAUGAAAAUCACAUUAGCACUAUUUAACAAAAAGGUAAAUAAGGAAAUCUUUUGGAAGUGGGUAAAUAUUUGGCAUCAGUCAUGUGUUUCUGUGAACAAACCUUUUUAGAGUGACUGCUGAUGCCAUUGUCUAUAAAGAGCCAUGCAUGCAGGUUAGGAGUGAAAACUGAGGUUGCUAAAAUGUGUAACAUAAAUAUUUUGUUUUACAACUGAUGAACUUGCAGUAAUCACACUUUCAUAAUUAAUAAAAAGGAAUUAUGUCACUUUCAGGGCUAUGAGUAUAGAGCAGAAAAUUUAGCAGACACCUAGUUUCUAAUCUAAAAGCUUCAUCAGGUAUUUCCAUUAGUUUCCAUUACCACUGUAACUUGACUAAAAAAAAGAAGUGGUGGGGCUAAGGGAUUAAAUGAUCCAAGUUUUCUGGAAUACAGAUAUACAGCCAAUUAAUAUAACAGUUUGUCCCAGACUGAGACAUUUUGUAAUCUGCUGGUUUUCACUGGUAUCAUGAUAACAGCAGGGUACACAAGCGUUCCUUUGAAAACGUGAGCCGUUCUCUAUCUUUCUAGAUAACUGAAGGCUAAGCCUGCAAGGAUUUUUAGAAUAACUCCAUGGAGGAAGUUUCUAGGGAAAGAACUCAUUGUACCCAGAGAUGGCUCUUGCUAUGCCUGUAGGAGUACGUCCUGCAGGCAGCUUCCCAGCAAGAAAGAGUUAGAAAUGUGUGGAGACAUCAGGUUAGAAUGAAGGUCAAGCAACUUUGAAACAG
This is a long non-coding RNA of Cyanistes caeruleus (blue tit), 1529 nucleotides long. RefSeq lists it as uncharacterized. NCBI's taxonomy places the organism in Eukaryota, Metazoa, Chordata, Aves, Passeriformes, Paridae. The record is from RefSeq and is a predicted model, not a curated record.